Molecule: non-coding RNA, 176 nt
Filed under: Virgibacillus necropolis
Lineage: Bacteria; Bacillati; Bacillota; Bacilli; Caryophanales; Bacillaceae
Description: GlcN6P sequence
Rfam family: glmS glucosamine-6-phosphate activated ribozyme aptamer
About the family: This entry contains a glucosamine-6-phosphate activated ribozyme that is found in the mRNA for GlmS. GlmS is an enzyme that uses fructose-6-phosphate and glutamine to generate glucosamine-6-phosphate. The ribozyme catalyses self cleavage of the glmS mRNA that is thought to regulate GlmS activity.
Source: Rfam by way of RNAcentral
AUAGCAUCAAAAGCGCCUGAACUAUUCACAGAGACGACUUAGCAAUGAAUAGUUGACGAGGAGGAGGAUUAUCGAUUUUUUCGGCGGAUACCUCCCGAUUGCACAUCUCAAUCGUUAUACUUUAUUCAUAAAACAAUGAGGCAACUUGUUGGCCAAUUGAAUAAGGCAAGAUGACC